CUCAUCCUUCUGGGGAUCUUGAAACUAACUCUGCCGUUAUAGCUUCUCAUUCUUCUGCUGACCGAGCGCGCACAAGUGCUCACUGUUUGACGGCGGCCGUUUCGUUCCCGCUGUUGGAGGCAGAAUCGGAAUUCAUAUGACUUCAACCAGUAGAUGUCGGUAGCGCCCAUUGAAGCUGGCGCCACCUCGCCGUAAAACAGAACGAAGAAGAAAAGGACGUCACUUCGCCUUCGCGGACGAGUCGCGAAUUGCAUUUCCCGUUCACCAACUGAACGGAACUGUGAGUGAAAGAGUCACUGAGUGAGCGAUUUGCAUUUCCAGAUCAUCGUGAGACCGGAUCAGCGAGGGAACGAAUCGUGACUUUCCCGUUCGCGAACAAGGCAAUGCAGUUGACCGCCUGCCUGCCUGCCUGCCUGCCUGCCUGCCUGCCUGCCUGCCUGCCUGCCUGCCUGCCUGCCUGCCUGCCUGCCUGCCUGCCUGCCUGCCUGCCUGCCUGCCUGCCUGCCUGCCUGCCUGCCUUCCUUCCUGCCUUCCUUCCUGCCUUCCUUCCAUCCCGUGCGUGCAUCAACGGAUCAGUCAGUAAAAGUGUUGCGUCGUCUCCUUGCUGGCGUGGACUAUGGAAGGCAGAAUGUCGAUUUGCCAAGGAAAGCAAGAAGCACACCACUUCUCUCAUGCACCUUUUCUCCAGCUAACUUUAUUGCAUGAAGGGGUGCGCCGUUAUGUAACAACGGGGAGAGAGAGCAUGCUUCUCUUUGGUCAUCUUGAUUUUAGAACACUUCUUGUAGGUUUUAAAUAUACACGCCUAAAUCAAAGUCAAAGUCUGCUUUAUUGUCAAAUAAAUAUUGUGAUCCAAAAUAUCUACUGCAAUCUCACAUUAGAUUGCUGGUUUGAAAUGUACUUUUAUUACUAUUAUUUUAAUAAACAUGUUCAAACUUG
This is a long non-coding RNA of Syngnathus typhle (broad-nosed pipefish), 936 nucleotides long. RefSeq lists it as uncharacterized. The transcript has 2 exons. Lineage: Eukaryota; Metazoa; Chordata; Actinopteri; Syngnathiformes; Syngnathidae. The record is from RefSeq and is a predicted model, not a curated record.